UAUCUUCAGGGCAGGGUGCGAUUCCCUACCGGCGGUACAGCCCGCGAGCCUUUUAUGGCAUGAUCCGGUGGAACUCCGGGGCCGACAGUAUAGUCUGGAUGAAAGAAGAU
This 110-nucleotide non-coding RNA is filed under the name human gut metagenome. Its description in RNAcentral is "FMN riboswitch (RFN element)". It matches the Rfam family "FMN riboswitch aptamer (RFN element)". From Rfam's summary of the family: The RFN element is a highly conserved domain that is found frequently in the 5'-untranslated regions of prokaryotic mRNAs that encode for flavin mononucleotide (FMN) biosynthesis and transport proteins. The record is from RNAcentral.